ACAACUACAGGCUCUAGAAAGUGGGAAUUCCAGGGAAUUCUAGACAGGAAAAAGCCAUAGAGGAAAGCCAAAUUCUGUGCAUAAACUCUGCCCAAAGUUGUGCCUGGUCUCUGAGCCACACACAUGUGGGACAGACACCAGCUAUGAUAAAAGAGCUGAACUGGUUUGAGCUACCCAUAGACAGAGUUUGCAAUCUUAGUCUAUCCAAGUUAAACACCUGCUAAAGAAGAAAACCAAAACCAACACUCUUCAGAGGAAUAUAACAGAACGUAAGAUCUCUACAACACAAUAUUCACAAUGUCCAAGAGGCAAUUAAAAAUUAUUUGUCAUUUGAAGAACCAGGAAAAUGUAACCCACUGUGAAACAAUCAACGGACAACAAACUUCAAAUGAUGUACAUGUUGGAAAUGACAGUCAAGGAUGUUAAAGUAGCUAUUACAGGCAUCCUCAAAUAUAUAAAGAAAAAUAUGCUUAUGAUAAAUGGAAAGAUAGGAAACCAAAUAAAAAAUAAAAAUAGAAAUCAUAAAAAACACAGAAGAAUUCUGGAAAAGCAAAAGACAAUAUCUGAAAUUUAAAAAAAACCCAAACUGGCUGUGUUUAGUAAGAGAAUGGAGAUGACAGGGAAGAAUCAGUGACCUUGAAGCCAGACCAACAGAAAUGACCCAAUCUGAAGAACAAAGAAUGAAAGGAUUGAAAAAGUCUGAGCCUCAGAGACCUGUGGGGCAAUAUCAAAAUAUCUUACAUACACAUAACCAGAGCUCCGGAUGUGGUGGAGAGAGAGAACAGGACAAAAAAUAUUUGAAAGUUAAUGACCCAAAAUAUCCCAAAUUUGGUGAAAGACUUAAAUUUUCAGAUUUAAUAAUCUCAGGAAACCCCACGCUGGAUAAAAUACGAAGGAAACUACACCUAGGGACACUAUUCUGAAACUUCUGGGAACCACAGGUAAAGAGAAAAUGCUGAAACCCUGCAGAGAAAAAUGAAACGCUUCACACAAUAGACCAACAACUGAAGUCAGCUGACUUGUCUGCCGGAACUAUGAAGGCUGAAAGACGGUGGAACGUUAUCUUCCAUCAAUAAAGGGACAAGAAAGCAAAGUGCCCAAAGGAGGGCAAAGUGUUGAAACAGAAUCCUGUAUCAACCAAAAAUACUCUUCAAGAGUGAAUGCUAAAUAAAAGCUUUUUUUUUAAGUAAAAGAAAACUGAAGAAUUUUUUCACCAGCAGAUCUGCACUACAAAAAAAUGCCAAAGGAAUUUCUUCAAGGUGGUGGGAACUGACGAUUGAAACUUGGAUAUUUAGGAGGUAAUGAAGAACACUGAAAAUGGCCUCUGUGGAGUCACCCAGGGGCUGGGUCACCAUCUGCAGCCCCAGAACGGAGAGGUGGCCAGGU
Molecule: long non-coding RNA, 1386 nt
Filed under: Equus caballus (horse)
Lineage: Eukaryota; Metazoa; Chordata; Mammalia; Perissodactyla; Equidae
Description: lncRNA (ENSECAG00000057884.1)
Source: RNAcentral